AACGAACGCUGGCGGCAUGCCUAACACAUGCAAGUCGAACGAGACCUUCGGGUCUAGUGGCGCACGGGUGCGUAACGCGUGGGAACCUGCCCUUAGGUUCGGAAUAACUCCCCGAAAGGGGUGCUAAUACCGGAUAAUGUCUUCGGACCAAAGAUUUAUCGCCUUUGGAUGGGCCCGCGUUGGAUUAGCUAGUUGGUAGGGUAAAAGCCUACCAAGGCGACGAUCCAUAGCUGGUCUGAGAGGAUGAUCAGCCACACUGGGACUGAGACACGGCCCAGACUCCUACGGGAGGCAGCAGUGGGGAAUAUUAGACGAUGGGCGAAAGCCUGAUCCAGCAAUGCCGCGUGAGUGAUGAAGGCCUUAGGGUUGUAAAGCUCUUUUACCCGGGAUGAUAAUGACAGUACCGGGAGAAUAAGCUCCGGCUAACUACGUG
Molecule: ribosomal RNA, 433 nt
Filed under: uncultured bacterium
Lineage: Bacteria
Description: partial 16S ribosomal RNA
Rfam family: Bacterial small subunit ribosomal RNA
Source: RNAcentral